AUUGAACGCUGGCGGCAUGCCUUACACAUGCAAGUCGAACGGCAGCAUGAUCUAGCUUGCUAGAUUGAUGGCGAGUGGCGAACGGGUGAGUAAUACAUCGGAACGUGCCCUGUAGUGGGGGAUAACUAGUCGAAAGAUUAGCUAAUACCGCAUACGACCUGAGGGUGAAAGUGGGGGACCGCAAGGCCUCAUGCUAUAGGAGCGGCCGAUGUCUGAUUAGCUAGUUGGUGAGGUAAAGGCUCACCAAGGCGACGAUCAGUAGCUGGUCUGAGAAGACGAUCAGCCACACUGGGACUGAGACACGGCCCAGGCUCCUACGGGAGGCAGCAGUGGGGAAUUUUGGACAAUGGGCGAAAGCCUGAUCCAGCAAUGCCGCGUGUGUGAAGAAGGCCUUCGGGUUGUAAAGCACUUUUGUCCGGAAAGAAAUGGCUCUGGUUAAUACCUGGGGUCGAUGACGGUACCGGAAGAAUAAGGACCGGCUAACUACGUG
This 490-nucleotide ribosomal RNA is filed under the name uncultured bacterium. RNAcentral's name for it is "partial 16S ribosomal RNA". It matches the Rfam family "Bacterial small subunit ribosomal RNA", at positions 30 to 507 of the family's 1533-position model. The record is from RNAcentral.